This 51-nucleotide small RNA is filed under the name Arabidopsis thaliana (thale cress). Its description in RNAcentral is "ATSL062480". Lineage: Eukaryota; Viridiplantae; Streptophyta; Magnoliopsida; Brassicales; Brassicaceae. The record is from RNAcentral.
CAGUUUCAUCCCAUCCUCUACUCUCUUCGCCUUACAAAAUCCAUUUAUAAG